GACGAACGCUGGCGGCGUGCUUAACACAUGCAAGUCGAACGGAAAGGCCCUUCGGGGUACUCGAGUGGCGAACGGGUGAGUAACACGUGGGUGAUCUGCCCUGCACUUUGGGAUAAGCCUGGGAAACUGGGUCUAAUACCGAAUAGGACCACGCGCUUCAUGGUGUGUGGUGGAAAGCUUUAGCGGUGUGGGAUGGGCCCGCGGCCUAUCAGCUUGUUGGUGGGGUAAUGGCCUACCAAGGCGACGACGGGUAGCCGGCCUGAGAGGGUGACCGGCCACACUGGGACUGAGAUACGGCCCAGACUCCUACGGGAGGCAGCAGUGGGGAAUAUUGCACAAUGGGCGCAAGCCUGAUGCAGCGACGCCGCGUGAGGGAUGACGGCCUUCGGGUUGUAAACCUCUUUCAAUAGGGACGAAGCGCAAGUGACGGUACCUAUAGAAGAAGCACCGGCCAACUACGUG
Molecule: ribosomal RNA, 462 nt
Filed under: uncultured bacterium
Lineage: Bacteria
Description: partial 16S ribosomal RNA
Rfam family: Bacterial small subunit ribosomal RNA
Source: RNAcentral